GCUACCCUUACACGAAUAAGAAGUCCUUCGGCCGGCAUCGAUCGUCCAGAAAAAACUCAAAGAAAAUUGUUCAAGGCCUAAUCGUUCAACUUAUCCGACUUACGUGCGAUCGAUCAAAAUGGGACAUCUACACUUUUUAUUCUACUUGUUGUACAUCAGCAUCCUCAUGGCAAUAGGGCUCAAAUUCAGUUACGGCCACCUUUGGACUUUUUUGGAAAUACUGAUUACAUGGAUGAUUGAUGGCCAAUUUAUUGAGGUAUCCAAUUCAAGCAACUUUGUAAUCGACGCAAUGUGCGCAUGGAACAAUCAGAAAACGACACUAACAGCCAUUUUUUAUUUUGUGCUACCCAUGUUAACAAAGCUGUACAUACUGAUCCCCUUCUUUGUGUAUAUAUUUUUUAAAUGUAAGAGUCUACUCCACUCGACGCGACAUUGCAUACAAGUCACCGGUAAAUGGAAUGAAAUUGGAUAUUUGACCAACUGGUCUUUGAAUAAUUCGAAUAAUUAAUACUCGUUUAUCGUUGGUAAAACACUAAUAAUAUUAAAAAAUUUAAUAUCUUGUCUUACUAACCGGUUACGAUGACCAAUAGUACAACCUAGUUUUUGCGAUACGUCGGUGUAGAAAUUAAUAUAAACUGACGUUAGACUUAGA
This is a long non-coding RNA of Adelges cooleyi (spruce gall adelgid), 652 nucleotides long. RefSeq lists it as uncharacterized. The transcript is spliced from 3 exons. The record is from RefSeq and is a predicted model, not a curated record. Lineage: Eukaryota; Metazoa; Arthropoda; Insecta; Hemiptera; Adelgidae.